This 336-nucleotide unclassified non-coding RNA is filed under the name Hevea brasiliensis (rubber tree). Lineage: Eukaryota; Viridiplantae; Streptophyta; Magnoliopsida; Malpighiales; Euphorbiaceae. The record is from RNAcentral.
AAGUUCUUGCACAUCAUGCUGCAUAAAAGAAUCAUAUGUAUCCCAUCCAAAGGAUUUAGUUAGUUCUUUUGUUGCUACACUGCUGUCACUGUACUGAAGCUUGUAAAAUAAGCUCUGCAGAGCCAAAGGGAUACUGGCAGAAGGCAUAUCAUUCUCGGUUGUAGGCAUAUGGUACACAGCCUUCCUGAAGUAAGGAAUAUGAUACAAAGUUUGAAGGAGAGAGUUCAUGUAGCACGUUGCUCCUUGGUUCUUGAGUCCAACAUAACCAGUUUCCUUUUUUGAAUCAUAUGUCCAAUAAUCCAAAACCCUUCGAACAAGAACCUCAGCUUCAACUAU